Long non-coding RNA from Triticum dicoccoides, 292 nucleotides. RefSeq lists it as uncharacterized. Lineage: Eukaryota; Viridiplantae; Streptophyta; Magnoliopsida; Poales; Poaceae. The record is from RefSeq and is a predicted model, not a curated record. The transcript has 3 exons.
CCGCAACGGAGGGGGAGUACGAUGAGGUUCUGGGGCAGCUCUCCUCUCUCACGCAGAAGGUGCGGACACACACCGGCAACCCAGGCAACCAGUGGGACCUCAUGGACCGCUACCUCCAGAUUCUCGAGCUGGAGGAGGCCAUCGCAUGGAUGAUGGUCAUCCAUGUCACCGGGACCAAAGGGAAGGUGAAUCACAAGAUAACAUUUGGUGCCAAGGAUUCGGGAAGGUGAACUAAUACCAAGAACCAUGUCGCCGGAUGAUUCCGGAAGAGAUGGUCCUGAUAGUCGAGGUA